AUGAAGCUUCUUCCGGCCGUCCUCGGCCUCGCCCUCCUCCUGCUCGUCCUGAAUCCGAAUGGCGUGGAGGCCCGGCCUGCGCCUACCGGCGGUCAUGAGAAGAAGAUACAAAGCGCCACCUUCUUUGUCUUCGGGGAUGACUUCGCUGACAACAGGAACCUCCCUCUGACCGACCCCGUCACCGAGAAGUCAUGGCAAUGGGCUUACCCCUACGGCUCCAACUACGUCGAUGCCGAUGGGUUUCCGCGACCGAAUACCCCGUCCGGCCACUUCUCAAACUACAAGAUCCAGUCGGAUUUCAUCGCAACAAUGUUGGGGUUGGAGGAAGCCCCUCCAGCACAUGCCCGUACAGCGGAGAAAACCUGCGACCCGUCCGGCAUGACUUUUGCUACGGGUGGUGCAGUGGUGUUGGAUAGUACAUCACAUGAGUUUCCCACCUUUACCAAGCAAGUCAAUACUUUCAGGAAGAUGGUCAAGGACGGGACCAUCACGGAGAAACAAUUGACUCACUCUGUAGCGCUCGUGGCCUUCUCCGGCAAUGAUUAUGCAAGCACCGGCGUCAUUGGACUAAGUAGCCCCAACGAUAUUAAUGCUUAUAUUGGGAAAGUGACAAAAGAGAUGGCUGCUAAUGUGGAGCAAUUGUUGAAGCUUGGGGUUACAAAGGUUCUUGUCAACAACUUACAUCCUGUCGGUUGCACACCAUCACAAACCCGAACUAACAACUACACCACGUGCGAUAUUUUUGAAAACUUGGGUGCUUCCAUCCAUAACAAUAACUUGAAACAAGUUAUGACAGCAAAGAAGAAUGUCCACAUCACCGAUCUGUAA
This 828-nucleotide ribosomal RNA is filed under the name Triticum aestivum (bread wheat). Its description in RNAcentral is "partial small subunit ribosomal RNA". The record is from RNAcentral. Lineage: Eukaryota; Viridiplantae; Streptophyta; Magnoliopsida; Poales; Poaceae.